Molecule: ribosomal RNA, 588 nt
Filed under: uncultured bacterium
Lineage: Bacteria
Description: bacterial SSU rRNA
Rfam family: Bacterial small subunit ribosomal RNA
Source: RNAcentral
CCUACGGGAGGCAGCAGUGGGGAAUAUUGCACAAUGGGCGCAAGCCUGAUGCAGCAACGCCGCGUGAGUGAAGAAGGCCUUCGGGUUGUAAAGCUCUUUCGGAUGUGAAGAAGGGUGCGUACACGAAUAGUGUAAGCAUUUGACUGUAGCAUAAUAAGAAGCACCGGCUAACUCCGUGCCAGCAGCCGCGGUAAUACGGGGGGUGCAAGCGUUGUUCGGAAUUAUUGGGCGUAAAGCGCACGUAGGCGGAUCUGUAAGUCGAUUGUGAAAGCCCUGGGCUUAACCUGGGAAUUGCAGCCGAAACUGCAGACCUUGAAUGCUUGAGGGGAUAACGGAAUUCCUGGUGUAGAAGUGAAAUUCGUAGAUAUCAGGAGGAACACCCGAGGCGAAGGCGGUUAUCUGGCAAUGCAUUGACGCUGAGGUGCGAAAGCGUGGGUAGCAAACAGGAUUAGAUACCCUGGUAGUCCACGCCGUAAACGAUGGAUACUAGGUGCUCGAGGUGUUAACCCCUUGUGUACCGUAGCUAACGCAUUAAGUAUCCCGCCUGGGGAGUACGGCCGCAAGGCUAAAACUCAAAGGAAUUGACGG